Molecule: long non-coding RNA, 404 nt
Filed under: Mustela putorius furo (domestic ferret)
Lineage: Eukaryota; Metazoa; Chordata; Mammalia; Carnivora; Mustelidae
Description: lncRNA (ENSMPUG00000027353.1)
Source: RNAcentral
UGUUUUCCUGUUUGUAAAGCAAUAUUGGGUCAGCUGGCUAGAGGACGAAUAAGAAUAUAUUUUAUACUGAACUUACAUGAAGCCUGAUGUGCUUUCUCUGGAUAUCUCCAAUCUGCCAGAUCAUCCGUUUGCCAUAAUUUUGACUACUCUCCUGUUGGCCUUGAUGAUCACUGGAGUCCCAGGAGUUUCAAACCCUGCCUCAAGAAAAAUUUGGAUGUAUUAGAAAAAAAUGACAGACUUCCUUGGUUAAGUUUAUCCCCUUCAGAAUGCCAACAAGUGCUGAGAAUGCACACAAGAGCUCUCAACCAUUUCAUGCUCUCCUAUACACCAAAAGCCCAAGAUAAAAAACAGAAAUCACUGGUAAGUUGUCCUUGGGUGCCAGCCAGUUAACACAACAAGAGUAC